Molecule: microRNA precursor, 73 nt
Organism: Ictidomys tridecemlineatus (thirteen-lined ground squirrel)
Lineage: Eukaryota; Metazoa; Chordata; Mammalia; Rodentia; Sciuridae
Source: Ensembl
GAGGGGGAAGACGGGAGAUGAGAAGAGAGCGGUUAUGCGGCUCCUCACUCCUCCCCUCCCGUCUUGUUCUCUC